Molecule: long non-coding RNA, 547 nt
Organism: Rhinopithecus roxellana (golden snub-nosed monkey)
Lineage: Eukaryota; Metazoa; Chordata; Mammalia; Primates; Cercopithecidae
Exons: 3
Source: RefSeq, a predicted model, not a curated record
GCUGCACACUUCCGGUCCCCGCCGUUCAACCCUUUCGAUACCAGGAUUUGGGUGGCCAGGACAAGGAAGAGGACGGUCCCUUUUUCCAAUGCCGGGAAGCUGAGAUGGUGUCAGGAGUGGGAUCCAAAGUGGAGCUUCUAGCGACUGCCAGGAGCACUGAGUGAACAUGCAAGGUACCUGCAGGGCCCACUUGUGUCCAUUGAUCUCUCACAGCACCUGGGGAUCACAGAACCUGCAGAUUGGAUCGUCUGAGAACACCAGAGAAAGAGAAAGACUGUCCUUGCCAUCCACACUACAGCAAAACUUUGGAGCUUUAAACCUUGGGUUCAUAAUCUCACAACUGAGAAGGGUCCCUCCACACUCCUGGAACUGUACACCCAUCGGAACCCUUAAGGUAAAACUAUCCAGAAAAGUUUCUCCCCAGAAGAUGGCAUCCUUGAUGUGAAGAGCUUUUCCAAGAUCAUAGAUCAAAACUUCUACUAUCACAAGACUCUUAUCUUUGAAUAUUUUUUCCUUGUUUAUGCCUCUAUAAACAAUAUAAAUUAAA